This 428-nucleotide ribosomal RNA is filed under the name Streptococcus mitis. RNAcentral describes it as "bacterial SSU rRNA". It matches the Rfam family "Bacterial small subunit ribosomal RNA", at positions 28 to 443 of the family's 1533-position model. The record is from RNAcentral. Lineage: Bacteria; Bacillati; Bacillota; Bacilli; Lactobacillales; Streptococcaceae.
GACGAACGCUGGCGGCGUGCCUAAUACAUGCAAGUAGAACGCUGAAGGAGGAGCUUGCUUCUCUGGAUGAGUUGCGAACGGGUGAGUAACGCGUAGGUAACCUGCCUGGUAGCGGGGGAUAACUAUUGGAAACGAUAGCUAAUACCGCAUAAGAGUAGAUGUUGCAUGACAUUUGCUUAAAAGGUGCAAUUGCAUCACUACCAGAUGGACCUGCGUUGUAUUAGCUAGUUGGUGGGGUAACGGCUCACCAAGGCGACGAUACAUAGCCGACCUGAGAGGGUGAUCGGCCACACUGGGACUGAGACACGGCCCAGACUCCUACGGGAGGCAGCAGUAGGGAAUCUUCGGCAAUGGACGGAAGUCUGACCGAGCAACGCCGCGUGAGUGAAAGAAAGGUUUUUCGGGAUCGUAAAAGCUCUGUUGUAAAG